GGCCCAAUGGUCUAGUAGUAUGAUACUCGCUUCGGGUGUGAAAGCCCGUUCUUGCAAAGAGCGAAGAUGUGAGUGGUCCCGGGUUCAAUUCCCGGUUGGGCCC
This 103-nucleotide transfer RNA is filed under the name Coprinellus micaceus. Its description in RNAcentral is "tRNA-Pro". It matches the Rfam family "tRNA". From Rfam's summary of the family: Transfer RNA (tRNA) molecules are approximately 80 nucleotides in length. Their secondary structure includes four short double-helical elements and three loops (D, anti-codon, and T loops). Further hydrogen bonds mediate the characteristic L-shaped molecular structure. tRNAs have two regions of fundamental functional importance: the anti-codon, which is responsible for specific mRNA codon recognition, and the 3' end, to which the tRNAs corresponding amino acid is attached (by aminoacyl-tRNA synthetases). tRNAs cope with the degeneracy of the genetic code in two manners: having more than one tRNA (with a specific anti-codon) for a particular amino acid; and 'wobble' base-pairing, i.e. permitting non-standard base-pairing at the 3rd anti-codon position. Lineage: Eukaryota; Fungi; Basidiomycota; Agaricomycetes; Agaricales; Psathyrellaceae. The record is from RNAcentral.